AUUGAACGCUGGCGGCAGGCCUAACACAUGCAAGUCGAACGGCAGCACAGAAGAGCUUGCUCUUUGGGUGGCGAGUGGCGGACGGGUGAGUAAUGUCUGGGAAACUGCCCGAUGGAGAGGGAUAACCACUGGAAACGGUAGCUAAUACCGCAUAACGUCGCAAGACCAAAGUGGGGGACCUUCGGGCCUCACACCAUCGGAUGUGCCCAGAUGGGAUUAGCUAGUAGGUGGGGUAAUGGCUCACCUAGGCGACGAUCCCUAGCUGGUCCGAGAGGAUGACCAGCCACACUGGAACUGAGACACGGUCCAGACUCCUACGGGAGGCAGCAGUGGGGAAUAUUGCACAAUGGGCGCAAGCCUGAUGCAGCCAUGCCGCGUGUAUGAAGAAGGCCUUCGGGUUGUAAAGUACUUUCAGCGGGGAGGAAGGCGGUGAGGUUAAUAACCUUGCCGAUUGACGUUACCCGCAGAAGAAGCACCGGCUAACUCCGUGCCAGCAGCCGCAGUAA
Molecule: ribosomal RNA, 506 nt
Filed under: uncultured bacterium
Lineage: Bacteria
Description: partial 16S ribosomal RNA
Rfam family: Bacterial small subunit ribosomal RNA
Source: RNAcentral